UCAGUUCGGAUUGCACUCUGCAACUCGAGUGCAUGAAGUCGGAAUCGCUAGUAAUCGCGGAUCAGCAUGCCGCGGUGAAUACGUUCUCGGGCCUUGUACACACCGCCCGUCACACCAUGGGAGUUGGUUUUGCCUGAAGACGGUGUGCUAACCGCAAGGAGGCAGCCGGCCACGGUAGGGUCAGCGACUGGGGUGAAGUCGUAACAAGGUAGCCGUAGGGGAACC
RNAcentral lists this ribosomal RNA (225 nucleotides) under Candidatus Liberibacter asiaticus. Its description in RNAcentral is "partial 16S ribosomal RNA". It matches the Rfam family "Bacterial small subunit ribosomal RNA", at positions 1288 to 1512 of the family's 1533-position model. Lineage: Bacteria; Pseudomonadati; Pseudomonadota; Alphaproteobacteria; Hyphomicrobiales; Rhizobiaceae. The record is from RNAcentral.